This 1085-nucleotide ribosomal RNA is filed under the name Salmonella enterica subsp. enterica serovar Washington. RNAcentral's name for it is "partial 23S ribosomal RNA". It matches the Rfam family "Bacterial large subunit ribosomal RNA", at positions 66 to 1190 of the family's 2925-position model. The record is from RNAcentral. Lineage: Bacteria; Pseudomonadati; Pseudomonadota; Gammaproteobacteria; Enterobacterales; Enterobacteriaceae.
CUGCGAUAAGCGCCGGUAAGGUGAUAUGAACCGUUAUAACCGGCGAUACCCGAAUGGGGAAACCCAGUGUGACUCGUCACACUAUCAUUAACUGAAUCCAUAGGUUAAUGAGGCGAACCGGGGGAACUGAAACAUCUAAGUACCCCGAGGAAAAGAAAUCAACCGAGAUUCCCCCAGUAGCGGCGAGCGAACGGGGAGGAGCCCAGAGCCUGAAUCAGCAUGUGUGUUAGUGGAAGCGUCUGGAAAGGCGCGCGAUACAGGGUGACAGCCCCGUACACAAAAGCGCAUGUGCUGUGAGCUCGAUGAGUAGGGCGGGACACGUGGUAUCCUGUCUGAAUAUGGGGGGACCAUCCUCCAAGGCUAAAUACUCCUGACUGACCGAUAGUGAACCAGUACCGUGAGGGAAAGGCGAAAAGAACCCCGGCGAGGGGAGUGAAAAAGAACCUGAAACCGUGUACGUACAAGCAGUGGGAGCACAGGUUUACCUGUGUGACUGCGUACCUUUUGUAUAAUGGGUCAGCGACUUAUAUUCUGUAGCAAGGUUAACCGUAUAGGGGAGCCGCAGGGAAACCGAGUCUUAACCGGGCGUUAAGUUGCAGGGUAUAGACCCGAAACCCGGUGAUCUAGCCAUGGGCAGGUUGAAGGUUGGGUAACACUAACUGGAGGACCGAACCGACUAAUGUUGAAAAAUUAGCGGAUGACCUGUGGCUGGGGGUGAAAGGCCAAUCAAACCGGGAGAUAGCUGGUUCUCCCCGAAAGCUAUUUAGGUAGCGCCUCGUGAAUUCAUCUCCGGGGGUAGAGCACUGUUUCGGCUAGGGGGCCAUCCCGGCUUACCAACCCGAUGCAAACUGCGAAUACCGGAGAAUGUUAUCACGGGAGACACACGGCGGGUGCUAACGUCCGUCGUGAAGAGGGAAACAACCCAGACCGCCAGCUAAGGUCCCAAAGUCAUGGUUAAGUGGGAAACGAUGUGGGAAGGCCCAGACAGCCAGGAUGUUGGCUUAGAAGCAGCCAUCAUUUAAAGAAAGCGUAAUAGCUCACUGGUCGAGUCGGCCUGCGCGGAAGAUGUAACGGGGCUAAACCAU